GGAAGGGUAGCGAAGAGGCUAAACGCGGCGGACUGUAAAUCCGCUCCUUCGGGUUCGGGGGUUCGAAUCCCUCCCCUUC
Molecule: transfer RNA, 79 nt
Filed under: Streptococcus infantarius subsp. infantarius
Lineage: Bacteria; Bacillati; Bacillota; Bacilli; Lactobacillales; Streptococcaceae
Description: tRNA-Tyr
Rfam family: tRNA
About the family: Transfer RNA (tRNA) molecules are approximately 80 nucleotides in length.
Source: RNAcentral